UACAGAGGGGGCAAGCGUUGUUCGGAAUUACUGGGCGUAAAGGGCGCGUAGGCGGCCCGCUAAGUCGAACGUGAAAUCCCCGGGCUCAACCCGGGAACUGCGUCCGAUACUGGUGGGCUCGAAUCCGGGAGAGUGAUGCGGAAUUCCAGGUGUAGCGGUGAAAUGCGUAGAUAUCUGGAGGAACACCGGUGGCGAAGGCGGCAUCCUGGACCGGUAUUGACGCUGAGGCGCGAAAGCCAGGGGAGCAAACGGG
This 253-nucleotide ribosomal RNA is filed under the name uncultured bacterium. RNAcentral describes it as "partial 16S ribosomal RNA". It matches the Rfam family "Bacterial small subunit ribosomal RNA", at positions 524 to 776 of the family's 1533-position model. The record is from RNAcentral.